CCUACGGGUGGCUGCAGUGGGGAAUAUUGGACAAUGGGCGAAAGCCUGAUCCAGCCAUGCCGCGUGUGUGAAGAAGGCCUUCGGGUUGUAAAGCACUUUCAGUGGGGAAGAAAGCCUUGGGGCUAAUACCCUCGAGGAAGGACAUCACCCACAGAAGAAGCACCGGCUAACUCCGUGCCAGCAGCCGCGGUAAUACGGAGGGUGCGAGCGUUAAUCGGAAUUACUGGGCGUAAAGCGCGCGUAGGCGGUCUGAUAAGCCGGUUGUGAAAGCCCCGGGCUCAACCUGGGAACGGCAUCCGGAACUGUCAGGCUAGAGUGCAGGAGAGGAAGGUAGAAUUCCCGGUGUAGCGGUGAAAUGCGUAGAGAUCGGGAGGAAUACCAGUGGCGAAGGCGGCCUUCUGGACUGACACUGACGCUGAGGUGCGAAAGCGUGGGUAGCAAACAGGAUUAGAUACCACGGUAGUC
RNAcentral lists this ribosomal RNA (465 nucleotides) under Vreelandella stevensii. RNAcentral's name for it is "partial 16S ribosomal RNA". It matches the Rfam family "Bacterial small subunit ribosomal RNA", at positions 338 to 795 of the family's 1533-position model. The record is from RNAcentral. Lineage: Bacteria; Pseudomonadati; Pseudomonadota; Gammaproteobacteria; Oceanospirillales; Halomonadaceae.